Molecule: non-coding RNA, 350 nt
Organism: Paramuricea clavata
Lineage: Eukaryota; Metazoa; Cnidaria; Anthozoa; Malacalcyonacea; Plexauridae
Source: the annotation of a GenBank genome assembly
GAAAUAAAUUGUCGCGGAAAUCGUGCACAAUGUCUUGCGGAAGGCAGUCUUGCACGUCAUGGUUGGACAUUUUGCCAAAGUCGGAAGUGAAAAUGAAACGUCGCGCUUAAACAAGUCUAAAUCCUUUGUCGCAUGCUUAAGAGUUAAAUACGUAUAUUAUAUCCUGGGUAAUGACUAGACUUUGAUGCCUUGUAAGUUCCUAUAUCCUAAGUAGAUGUCCAUCCAUUUUGGAGUGCGUGGAUGUGUUAGCGCAUGUGCUUUUUUCACGAAAAUAAUUUCUAGGGAGGCUGGUGUAAUUGUGUAAAUGAGUUAUGAAUGUUCUGAGUGUAUUUUUGAUAGUUUCAUAGUUU